UUGCUUUUAGCAGCACAUAGACUAAAACUGGAAUGAUUCCGAGUUUAGCAUGGCCCCUGUGCAAGGAUGACACGCAAAUUCAUGAAGCGCUCCAUGAAAAA
Molecule: small nuclear RNA, 101 nt
Organism: Cervus hanglu yarkandensis (Yarkand deer)
Lineage: Eukaryota; Metazoa; Chordata; Mammalia; Artiodactyla; Cervidae
Source: Ensembl